GUUAACAUUGGAUUCUCUUUUCUUCAUAAAACAGAAAAAACAAAAAAAUAAAUAAUAAAAACAAAAUUCAAAAUACUCCAACGUCUCUCAUUCUCCUCCACCCAGUGUCUGCUCCACUACCAUUCCACUACAACUACCUCCUCUCUCUCGUACGAAAGAAAAAGAAAAUGACAAAAAAAAGGGGUAAUAAAAGUCAUUCA
Molecule: long non-coding RNA, 200 nt
Filed under: Lathyrus oleraceus (garden pea)
Lineage: Eukaryota; Viridiplantae; Streptophyta; Magnoliopsida; Fabales; Fabaceae
Description: Pisum sativum (pea) long non-coding RNA (PSAT_LNC033505)
Source: RNAcentral